GAUCUCGCAAUGGCUCUGAACAACUCCCUGACCUGCCCUUUGGCCACUGCUCACAACCUUGGGGUAACCAUGGACAAUCAGCUGUCAUUUUCCUCCCAUGUUACUAAUGUCACACGCUCAUGACAGUUUCUUCAGUGCAACAUCAGAAGGAUUCAGCCAUUUCUGUCCACACAGGCUGCUCAGGUGCUUGUUCAGUCUUCAGAUAGGAGAGUUCAAAAACAGAUGGCCUGCCCUGUUCCUUGAGAGUGAAAUAAAUGCAGAGUUCUUGUGGAUCACUACCAAGCCACUGCGAUCGAAGUUCCUGUCACAGCAGGACCAUUUCUCAGACAAACUAAUACAGCAAUCUUCAACAAGAAAGGAGGACUGAAGGGGCAGAAGAUCAAGGAUGUCCUGGAUAUCAAAGAUCCUUGUGACAGCAUUGACAUCAGGAGGGAAUGCAUCCUGAGGAGCCUUGUGAUCUAUCUCAAUGAGGAUCCAGACUCUUUUUUACAAGGAAUAUCUGGUAAGUUUAUCACAAUAUACCUCCCAUACGGCCUAACACAGUUACUUCGUCCAUGACACGUUAUUAUCGAAUCACAUGAGUCAUGAGUCCUAAAUCAGUAAA
Molecule: long non-coding RNA, 604 nt
Organism: Hemibagrus wyckioides
Lineage: Eukaryota; Metazoa; Chordata; Actinopteri; Siluriformes; Bagridae
Exons: 3
Source: RefSeq, a predicted model, not a curated record